Non-coding RNA from Nicotiana tabacum (common tobacco), 477 nucleotides. Lineage: Eukaryota; Viridiplantae; Streptophyta; Magnoliopsida; Solanales; Solanaceae. The record is from RefSeq and is a predicted model, not a curated record.
UUGAAAGCAUUUGCAAAACUAAUGUAACUAGUACUAUCUGCACAAAUACUAAAAGCAGAAACCUAUUUCCUUCCAAAACCAAACACGAUUCCUCCAAAAAAAUCAAUGAAUUCAACGUUAUUCUUUCAAACUUAAGAAAAACCAGAAACGUUUUCAAAUGAAUUCAAUGUUAUUCGUUCCAAAAUUUUUAGGAACUAAAUAAAAUUUCGUCCGUGAAUUUCUAAAGAAGCAGGGGCGAAUUUUGCUCAAUCAACGAAGGUUUUCCAAUGGAGUAUUAUACUGAGUUUUCCCUACUCCAGGUCCUGAUAGAUAGGUCGAGAGCCUUCCAAGUAGGCUAUCAGCUCAGCGGAAGAUGUUGGUGCGCUCCAUUUGCUUCGGAGCUGCGUAUUUGGUUAGUAUGAUUUAGACGUCUAUUGUUAGGUAUGACGGGACUCUGUUCCGAACUUUGUGACACUUAUGUACUCUUAGAGGCUUGUA